RNAcentral lists this ribosomal RNA (397 nucleotides) under uncultured bacterium. RNAcentral's name for it is "partial 16S ribosomal RNA". It matches the Rfam family "Bacterial small subunit ribosomal RNA", at positions 523 to 918 of the family's 1533-position model. The record is from RNAcentral.
AUACGUAGGUGACAAGCGUUAUCCGGAUUUACUGGGCGUAAAGGGCGUGUAGGCGGUCUUGCAAGUCAGAAGUGAAAUUCCUGAGCUCAACUCGGGCGCUGCUUCUGAAACUGCAGGACUUGAGUGCUGGAGGGGAUAGCGGAAUUCCUAGUGGAGUGGUAAAAUGCGCAGAUAUUAGGAAGAACACCGGUGGCGAAGGCGGCAAGCUGGACAGUAACUGACGCUGAGGCGCGAAAGCGUGGGGAGCAAACAGGAUUAUAUACCCUGGUGGUCCACGCCGUAAACGAUGAAUACUAGGUGUAGGGGGUAUCGACUCCCUCUGUGCCGCAGUUAACACAAUAAGUAUUCCGCCUGGGGAGUACGGCCGCAAGGUGGAAACUCAAAUGUAUUGACGGGG